AGCGGCGGACGGGUGGGUAACGCGUGGGUAACCUGCCUUAUACAGGGGGAUAACAGUUAGAAAUGACUGCUAAUACCGCAUAAGCGCACAGUACCGCAUGGUAGUGUGUGAAAAACUCCGGUGGUAUAAGAUGGACCCGCGUCUGAUUAGCCAGUUGGCGGGGUAACGGCCCACCAAAGCGACGAUCAGUAGCCGACCUGAGAGGGUGACCGGCCACAUUGGGACUGAGACACGGCCCAAACUCCUACGGAAGGCAGCAG
This 260-nucleotide ribosomal RNA is filed under the name uncultured bacterium. RNAcentral describes it as "partial 16S ribosomal RNA". It matches the Rfam family "Bacterial small subunit ribosomal RNA", at positions 94 to 354 of the family's 1533-position model. The record is from RNAcentral.